RNAcentral lists this unclassified non-coding RNA (219 nucleotides) under Hevea brasiliensis (rubber tree). The record is from RNAcentral. Lineage: Eukaryota; Viridiplantae; Streptophyta; Magnoliopsida; Malpighiales; Euphorbiaceae.
GUUGUGGCCUUUUGCACACUUGGUUACAUAUGGCCUAGUUCCUGUUGAACAAAGACUUCUGUGGGUUGACUGCGUGGAGUUAAUCUGGGUUACAAUACUGUCAACUUACUCCAACGAGAAAUCUGAAGCAAGGAACUCCGAGGACGCAUCCACAUCAAAUGCUUCCAAUGACAAUUCAAUAUAGCGAACGGUAUAGCCAGCCAAGCUGCCCUUUACCUU